ACCCACUAAUGAAGUGCUAAUACAGUGGGCGAAUGUAAUAUCCCCCACUUUUAAAAAUGUAUUAAUAAGGAUUUAUAUGUAAAUUGGGGGACCUAUAUGUAAAUAUAGAAAUUACAAGGACUAAACUGCUAAGUUGCAAAAAGAAAAAAAAACGAAAAGGAAAAACCGAAAAUUCGGUAUUAUCCCACCGCCUCCCACGCACUCUGUUUCUAAACAGAGAGAGCGGUGGGGCGUGAGGAGAAGGAGAGUGGUUGAAGAAAAGAAGAAGAAGAGGGAAAAGAAGAGAGGAGGAAGAAGAGAGGAAGAAGAGAAGAAGAUGAAGAAGAAGAAGAAGAGGAGGUGGCUGCAGCGAGGGCUGCAGCGAGAAGCUGUGGGGCGUGGGGAGAAGAAGAGAGGAAGAAGAAGCAGAAGAAGAAGAAGAAGAAGAAGAAGAGAGGAUGAUAGCUGCGGCAAGGCUGCAGCGAGGAGGUGUGUGGGGUUGGGGAGGAAAAGGGAAGAUGAGAAGAAAAGAAGGAGAAGAAGAGGGAAAAGAGAGGGAAGAGGGAGAGGAGCGAGAGGUGGCAGCAGCUAGGGCUGCAGCACCUCUGUUUCCUGCAGGUGGAAACAGAGGAGAGGUGGGGCGUUCGAAGAGGAGAAGAAGAAGAAGAGGAAGAGAAGAGGAAGAGGAAGCAGGAGAAGAGGUUGCGAUACCUCUGUUUCCUGCAGAGGAAACAGAGGAGAGGGUGUGUGUGACGUCGGGGAGAAGAAGGGGAGGAAGGAGAAGAAGAGAAGAAGAAGAAAGGAAGGAGAGGAAGAAGAGAAGGGAAAGGAGGAGCUGCGGCUGCGGCGGUGGCAGCUGCAGCUGGAAGAGAAGGAGAGGAAGAGAUGGUGAGGAAGAAGAGAAGAAGUAGAAGCGGGUGAAGAGGCGGCACCUCUGUUUCCUGCAGGAGGAAACAGAGGAAAGGAGGUGCUGUUCGUCGGGGAGAAGAAGGGGGCUGCAGCUACGGCGAUGGCAGCUGCAGCUGGAAGAGAAGAAGAAGAGGAAGAUGAGCAGGGGAGGAGGGAGAGGUUGCGGCCGUGGCUGCGGCCGCGACUGCAGCAGUUGCAGCGGGGAGAGAAGAAGAAGAAAGGAAGGAGAAGGAAGAGGAGAAGGGAAAGAAGUAGCUGCGGCUGCGGUUGUAGCAGCUGCAGCUGUGGCAGGGAAAGAGGAAGAGAAAAAGGAAAGGAAGAAGAAGAGAAAGGGAAGGAGAGGAAGAAGAGAGGAAGAGGAGAAGGGGCUGCGGCUGCGGCGAUGGCAGCUGCAGCUGUGGCUGGGAAAGAAGAGAAGGAAAGGAAGAAGAAGAGAAAGGGAAGGAGAGGAAGAAGAGAGGAAGAGGAGAAGGGGUGGCAGCUGCGGCAGUGGCAGCUGCAGCUGGAAGAGGAGGAGGAAAUAGAGCAGGGGAGGAAGAAGAGGCUGCGAGUGUGGUGGCUGCGGCCGUGGCUGCGACUCCGGCUGCGGCUGCGACGUUGGCUGCGGUAGGUGGCUGCAGUAGCUGCAGUAGCUGCUUUUGGGAAAGAGAAAGAGUAGGAACGAGAGAAGGGAAGAAGGAAAUAGUGCAGUGGAAGGGGGCUGCGGUUGUGACCGCAGUUGCGAUUGUGGCAGCGGCAGCGGCGGCGGCUGUGGCAGCUGCGUUUGGGAAAGAAAAAGAAGGAAUGAGAGUAAGAGAGAGCAGGUGACUGUGCCUCGAUGUUCGACACGUGGUGUAGUUGCGAAGAAAGGAAGAAAACGGGAGCACAAAACGAAACAGAGAGAGGACACGGAGGAAAAGUAGAAGGAUUUGGGCUGGCACCUUCUUUGGAUCUUCGGAUCGAAAUCUUUGAAAGGUCAGCUUGUCACUCUUCGAGAUGUUUGAUUUGGGCUGAGGCAGUGGAUAGCUAUUCAGAAUAAUGGGCAAGUCUGGUUGGUUAUUACGAUAUUGUUGUAUAAGUAUGUCUUGUAUAUAAUGAAAUGUUGUCGAUGAACCGAAAUAGAUAUAUUGUGUCCAAGUGUUAGGAGAUCUCUCUUAUUUGGAAUUUCAGAAUGUUAAGUCUAAUUUAUGGUGAUAUGAACUUGUGGUGAAUAGUUGGAGUUCUGAUUGUAUAAUUUAUUUAGCUUGUGGAUUUAUAAAUGUUGUUCAUGUUUGUCAAGUUGGCUUGGGUUGCCAUAAAUGUGAAUUAUCGAGUGAUGUGAUAUAUGAUUAUAAACUGCACAGGUUUUAUGGAUGUGAAUA
Molecule: long non-coding RNA, 2228 nt
Organism: Musa acuminata AAA Group (dessert banana)
Lineage: Eukaryota; Viridiplantae; Streptophyta; Magnoliopsida; Zingiberales; Musaceae
Exons: 2
Source: RefSeq, a predicted model, not a curated record